RNAcentral lists this ribosomal RNA (458 nucleotides) under Streptococcus mitis. RNAcentral's name for it is "bacterial SSU rRNA". It matches the Rfam family "Bacterial small subunit ribosomal RNA", at positions 34 to 476 of the family's 1533-position model. The record is from RNAcentral. Lineage: Bacteria; Bacillati; Bacillota; Bacilli; Lactobacillales; Streptococcaceae.
CGCUGGCGGCGUGCCUAAUACAUGCAAGUAGAACGCUGAAGGAGGAGCUUGCUUCUCUGGAUGAGUUGCGAACGGGUGAGUAACGCGUAGGUAACCUGCCUGGUAGCGGGGGAUAACUAUUGGAAACGAUAGCUAAUACCGCAUAAGAGUAGAUGUUGCAUGACAUUUACUUAAAAGGUGCAAUUGCAUCACUACCAGAUGGACCUGCGUUGUAUUAGCUAGUUGGUGGGGUAACGGCUCACCAAGGCGACGAUACAUAGCCGACCUGAGAGGGUGAUCGGCCACACUGGGACUGAGACACGGCCCAGACUCCUACGGGAGGCAGCAGUAGGGAAUCUUCGGCAAUGGACGGAAGUCUGACCGAGCAACGCCGCGUGAGUGAAGAAGGUUUUCGGAUCGUAAAGCUCUGUUGUAAGAGAAGAACGAGUGUGAGAGUGGAAAGUUCACACUGUGACGGU